Molecule: ribosomal RNA, 39 nt
Filed under: Silene nutans
Lineage: Eukaryota; Viridiplantae; Streptophyta; Magnoliopsida; Caryophyllales; Caryophyllaceae
Also listed under: 1 other name
Description: partial 26S ribosomal RNA
Source: RNAcentral
CCCAGGUCAGGCGGGGCUACCCGCUGAAUUUAAGCAUAU